This 759-nucleotide ribosomal RNA is filed under the name Gramella sp. TBL_38. RNAcentral describes it as "bacterial SSU rRNA". It matches the Rfam family "Bacterial small subunit ribosomal RNA", at positions 154 to 910 of the family's 1533-position model. The record is from RNAcentral. Lineage: Bacteria; Pseudomonadati; Bacteroidota; Flavobacteriia; Flavobacteriales; Flavobacteriaceae.
AAACGUGGAUUAAUACCCCAUAGUAUGUAGACUUCACCUGGAGACUACAUUAAACAUUUAUGGCUUAAAGAUGAGUAUGCGUCCUAUUAGUUAGUUGGUAAGGUAACGGCUUACCAAGACGGCGAUAGGUAGGGGUCCUGAGAGGGAGAUCCCCCACACUGGUACUGAGACACGGACCAGACUCCUACGGGAGGCAGCAGUGAGGAAUAUUGGACAAUGGAGGCAACUCUGAUCCAGCCAUGCCGCGUGCAGGAAGACGGCCCUAUGGGUUGUAAACUGCUUUUAUACGGGAAGAACCACAUCUACGUGUAGAUGCUUGACGGUACCGUAUGAAUAAGGACCGGCUAACUCCGUGCCAGCAGCCGCGGUAAUACGGAGGGUCCAAGCGUUAUCCGGAAUCAUUGGGUUUAAAGGGUCCGUAGGCGGGAUAAUAAGUCAGUGGUGAAAGUCUGCAGCUCAACUGUAGAAUUGCCAUUGAUACUGUUGUUCUUGAAUUAUUAUGAAGUGGUUGGAAUGAGUAGUGUAGCGGUGAAAUGCAUAGAUAUUACUCAGAACACCUAUUGCGAAGGCAGAUCACUAAUAAUAUAUUGACGCUGAGGGACGAAAGCGUAGGUAGCGAACAGGAUUAGAUACCCUGGUAGUCUACGCCGUAAACGAUGGUUACUAGCUGUUCGGCUCGAUUGAGAGCUGAGUGGUUAAGCGAAAGUGAUAAGUAACCCACCUGGGGAGUACGUUCGCAAGAAUGAAACUCAAAGGAAU